Long non-coding RNA from Neofelis nebulosa (Clouded leopard), 2154 nucleotides. RefSeq lists it as uncharacterized. The transcript has 5 exons. The record is from RefSeq and is a predicted model, not a curated record. NCBI's taxonomy places the organism in Eukaryota, Metazoa, Chordata, Mammalia, Carnivora, Felidae.
GUUACACUUUCUUAUCUUUCCACUUUUCUGGAGUAUUAUUGAAACAGAUACACACGUAUACCCACAUAUAGAGGAAUCUUCUGAAGACAAAGAUCACUUUCCAGAAAAAAUUCCAGUUUCAACCCACAGAAAGGGACAGAGACCCUUUUUUAACUGCACCACCAUGCUGUUAAGCAGUACCUGUCGACUUACCGGUAGAACAGAAAUGCCACAGAAACGCCUGCCCCUUUGGCUCCUUGCCACCUCCCAGGGCCCAGGACCUUCCCAACACAGGCGUUUGUGAAAUUUUCUGGAUUGCUGCUGGGAUCUUUUCAUGCUUGAUAUGGAUUUAUUCUUUUGCAUGUAUUUACUGUUAUUUCAGUAAGAUUUGGGAAGAAGGAGAGGUAAAGUAGGCCCAAGGUACCCUUUUGACCUUCAGCAUUUAUUUUGAAAAUUUUGAAAUGAACAAAUAUUUCUUCAGUGAAUAACCAGGAGACCUUCUGGUUCAGAUAAAAGAAUACUUUCACCGGGACUACCUUGACAAGUUCAUGUGUCCAUGAGAUGAGAAUAGAGAAAAAAGUACAGGAACAAGUUCCAGCGAUGAGAAGAAGAAUGACCGAAGCAUUCCAUAAUUUAUCUUAAGGCAGCAAUAAUUUGUGUGUUUGGAGACACGCUUUGCAGGGAAAAGAAUCAAGACUCGCUGAGGACUGUGGUGGCCCCCUAAACCUGGAAAACUCCUAUUCAUCCUUCAGGACCCAGCCAGUGCCUCCUUCUUACGCAGGCCUCAGAAGAGGAGGUCGCUUCUGUUGCAUUUCCCCAGCCUCCGGUCUGGAAGGAGAAACACAAUUCAGCAAAGCUCCCUUCUCCGGCUCCGGCCCCACCUGUCACUAGGGGAGCCUCAGCCAUCCGACCUUCCACCGCUUCCUUCUGUAGUUUUCCUGAAAGUCUCCAGAAGGUGUCAUCUGUGUGCUCUCCUGUGGGCAGCUGUUUAUCUCCCGCAUGGCAUUUGUCAGUGCCCUUCUCCGCGGAGGGGGAGCAGGCUGCGGGGUCCCCCCACCCCCAGCUGGGGGGAGGGUGCCAGUGGUGUAACUGAGGCCACAGCACAGCGCCGCCUCCCGCUGCUGCGUGCUGAAAGCCGUGCUUGCUUUCCCGCAAUCACGUGGUCUGGCUCCCAGAUCCGUGCUGCAGAACAACUCCGAAAUGGGGACAGUGAGAGUCUAAGAAUACAGGCGGGCUAUGAAUAGCUCCCGCUCACCACGCCUUUCCUGUGCACGAGGAAGGGCGCUAUAAACCCUUCUGUGGAAUCCACGUUGUAAUCCCCGCGCUGAACCCUGGAUUGUUGCUAGUGAGGACCGCAACCCCCAGAGGCUCAGGGAGAUUCAGUAGCUUGCUUCGGUGUUCACAGCUGGUAACGGGCGGCUAGGAGUUUAAACCCAGGUCAGCUUGGCUCCAGAGUCCAGAACCUUCAUGUCCCUGCCUUGGUAUGCACACCAGCUCCCAUGAGACAGAGUGAUGCCCUCCUCAAUGCUUCCCAGUUCCCUUGGCAGUCCAUCGGCUGGAAGGCUCUAUCUUACCCCACAGCAGUGCCUGGCUCUUAGCACAAGUUCAACAACGAUUAAAUGAGUGAAGAAACAAAUAACUAGAGUCUUAGUCUCACCUGACACUCCCACCCCCAACUGAUGGGCCUGGGGAAGGUCUCCAUAUCUAUCCUGCCUCAACUUUCACCAAUCAGGGCAAUAAUAUUGCUUGGAUGGGGUUCUUAUAAAGCAGGCUGAGACGCCAACGCCUAGGAAACAGAGCUCCAGUCUCAAAGGGGUCAAUGGCAACAACGUACCAGCCUCACUGGGUUUGGCCCCCCACCUGCUCACACAGGCCUCAGUCCUCUGCAGAGCCCUGCCCAGUCCUUUUGGGAAUCCUGGGAGAAUAUGUCACGUGUGCCAGCAGUGGUCACCAUGCGGUAUCUUCCGCUUCCCUCCUUUCCCUCUCAAGGCCCUCGCGAUGAUGUCCUCUCUGGGCAUGGCCCCCUAGGCCACCUCACCCUGCACCCGCAUCCACCACAGGACUAUUGUCCACCAUGUUCAGGGCCAUCUCCUCUGAGAGUGGCCAGCCCUCACAGUGCCAGAGCCACUCUGUGUCCUGCUUAGACGUGAAAGGGCUGCUACCCUGCUCCAUGUC